CCUACGGGAGGCAGCAGUGAGGAAUAUUGGUCAAUGGCCGGAAGGCUGAACCAGCCAAGCCGCGUGAGGGAGGAAGGCGCAGAGCGUCGCAGACCUCUUUUGCCGGGGGACAAAAGGCCGGACUCGUCCGGUCCUGAGGGUACCCGGAGAAAAAGCAUCGGCUAACUCCGUGCCAGCGGCCGCGGUAAUACGGAGGAUGCGAGCGUUAUCCGGAUUCAUUGGGUUUAAAGGGUGCCCAGGCGGGCCUUUAAGCUGGGGGGGAAAUAGCGGGGCAAAACCCCGCCGAGCCGUGGGAACUGGGGGCCUUGGGGGCGGCGGAGGCAUGCGGAAUGCGCGGUGUAGCGGUGAAAUGCAUAG
Molecule: ribosomal RNA, 357 nt
Filed under: uncultured bacterium
Lineage: Bacteria
Description: partial 16S ribosomal RNA
Rfam family: Bacterial small subunit ribosomal RNA
Source: RNAcentral